GACGAACGCUGGCGGCGUGCUUAACACAUGCAAGUCGAACGGUAAGGCCCUUCGGGGUACACGAGUGGCGAACUGGUGAGUAACACGUGGGUGAUCUGCCCUGCACUUCGGGAUAAGCCCGGGAAAAUGGGUCUAAUACCGGAUAGGACUCCUGCCUGCAUGGGUGGGGGGGGAGAGCUUUUGCGGUGUGGGAUGGGCCCGCGGCCUAUCAGCUUGUUGGUGGGGUGAUGGCCUACCAAGGCGACGACGGGUAGCCGGCCUGAGAGGGUGACAGGCCACACUGGGACUGAGAUACGGCCCAGACUCCUACGGGAGGCAGCAGUGGGGAAUAUUGCACAAUGGGCGCAAGCCUGAUGCAGCGACGCCGCGUGAGGGAUGACGGCCUUCGGGUUGUAAACCUCUUUCAGCACAGACGAAGCGCAAGUGACGGUAUGUGCAGAAGAAGGACCGGCCAACUACGUGCCAGCAGCCGCCGUAA
RNAcentral lists this ribosomal RNA (478 nucleotides) under uncultured bacterium. RNAcentral describes it as "partial 16S ribosomal RNA". It matches the Rfam family "Bacterial small subunit ribosomal RNA", at positions 28 to 523 of the family's 1533-position model. The record is from RNAcentral.